RNAcentral lists this ribosomal RNA (443 nucleotides) under uncultured bacterium. Its description in RNAcentral is "partial 16S ribosomal RNA". It matches the Rfam family "Bacterial small subunit ribosomal RNA", at positions 338 to 795 of the family's 1533-position model. The record is from RNAcentral.
CCUACGGGUGGCAGCAGUAGGGAAUAUUGCUCAAUGGGGGGAACCCUGAUCCAGCGACGCCGCGUGAGUGAAGAAGUAUUUCGGUAUGUAAAGCUCUGUCAGCAGGGAAGAAAGAAAUGACGGUACCUGACUAAGAAGCCCCGGCUAACUACGUGCCAGCAGCCGCGGUAAUACGUAGGGGGCAAGCGUUAUCCGGAAUCACUGGGUGUAAAGGGAGCGUAGACGGCUGAGCAAGCCUGAAGGGAAAGGCGGGGGCCCAACCCCCGGACUGCUGUGGGAACUGGACGGCUGGAGUGCAGGAGAGGUAAGUGGAAUUCCUAGUGUAGCGGUGAAAUGCGUAGAUAUUAGGAGGAACACCAGUGGCGAAGGCGGCUUACUGGACUGUAACUGACGUUGAGGCGCGAAAGCGUGGGGAGCAAACAGGAUUAGAUACCCCAGUAGUC